AACGCUGGCGGCGUGCCUAAUACAUGCAAGUCGAACGCACAGCGAAAGGUGCUUGCACCUUUCAAGUGAGUGGCGAACGGGUGAGUAACACGUGGAUAACCUACCUCAAGGUUGGGGAUAACAUUUGGAAACAGAUGCUAAUACCGAAUAAAACUUCGUAUCGCAUGAUACAAGGUUAAAAGGCGCUACGGCGUCACCUAGAGAUGGAUCCGUGGUGCAUUAGUUAGUUGGUGGGGUAAAGGCCUACCAAGACAAUGAUGCAUAGCCGAGUUGAGAGACUGAUCGGCCACAUUGGGACUGAGACACGGCCCAAACUCCUACGGGAGGCUGCAGUAGGGAAUCUUCCACAAUGGGCGAAAGCCUGAUGGAGCAACGCCGCGUGUGUGAUGAAGGCUUUCGGGUCGUAAAGCACUGUUGUAUGGGAAGAACAGCUAGAGUAGGGAAUGACUUUAGUUUGACGGUACCAUACCAGAAAGGGACGGCUAAAUACGUGCCAGCAGCCGCGGUAAUACGUAUGUCCCGAGCGUUAUCCGGAUUUAUUGGGCGUAAAGCGAGCGCAGACGGUUGAUUAAGUCUGAUGUGAAAGCCCGGAGCUCAACUCCGGAAAGGCAUUGGAAACUGGUCAACUUGAGUGCAGUAGAAGUAAGUGGAACUCCAUGUGUAGCGGUGGAAUGC
This 675-nucleotide ribosomal RNA is filed under the name uncultured Leuconostoc sp. RNAcentral's name for it is "bacterial SSU rRNA". It matches the Rfam family "Bacterial small subunit ribosomal RNA", at positions 32 to 689 of the family's 1533-position model. Lineage: Bacteria; Bacillati; Bacillota; Bacilli; Lactobacillales; Lactobacillaceae. The record is from RNAcentral.